CGCAGGCUGCAACUCGCCUGCGUGAAGUUGGAAUUGCUAGUAAUCGCGGAUCAGCAUGCCGCGGUGAAUACGUUCCCGGGCCUUGUACACACCGCCCGUCACACCAUGGGAGUUUGUAACACCCGAAGUCAGUAUCCUAACCGCAAGGGGGGAGCUGCCGAAGGUGGGAUAAGCGACUGGGGGUGAAGUCGUAACAAGGUAGC
RNAcentral lists this ribosomal RNA (203 nucleotides) under uncultured bacterium. Its description in RNAcentral is "partial 16S ribosomal RNA". It matches the Rfam family "Bacterial small subunit ribosomal RNA", at positions 1299 to 1500 of the family's 1533-position model. The record is from RNAcentral.